UAUACAAGGUUCUGCUUAAGCUAUUAUUUGCUAACGUCUGAAGACAUGAAGCUUUUCAAGGUAGAUCUGUUUUGUCAAGCAUCGCGUUUAAAAGCAGCCUAAAGACAGAAUAAAUGGUCAUGGCGACCGCAAAUCUGGGCAUGGAAGAAGAAAUGCACUCUCAGUUUGUUUUCUGUUGUUAAUAUCUUUCUUCUUAACCAUAAUAUAUUUGUUAAUUGAUGUCCUGUUUAUUUAGAGAGUUGUACCUAACAAGGGAUACGGGCAAGAGUACAUCUUGUCUGCUCAAGACAUCAACACUAACCUGAAGGAUUCAAGAAUGAUGUCAUGAAAUACUUUGAGAGGAUCUGAUCGGAGGCUCUUAAGUGCUGACUUCAAAAGCAAGUUGAUGGCAUUGAGAUCUUGCAGAAGGUACUUGAAUUUCUUCCCGAGCUUCUAGAUCUGUUCAAAAAUGAGGGCUGUGAGGCAACCAUCUUUCUUCCUUGCUUGGUUGAAAAGGUAAUUAUCUGUCUGUGAUAUCUCAAGCAUUAUCCAAAGUCUUAUUAAGUUAAAGGAAGUUGUUGUGGCAAGUGAAUGCAUAGUUAUUACUUUUGUUUUUAACAUCGUCUUUGUUGAUAAUUCUGCGAAUUAUGUAGGUGAUAAUAUUUCUUCUAGUUCUUCCACUAAAAUAGUUCUUAUGUUUUUUUGA
This is a long non-coding RNA of Salvia splendens (bonfire salvia), 685 nucleotides long. RefSeq lists it as uncharacterized. NCBI's taxonomy places the organism in Eukaryota, Viridiplantae, Streptophyta, Magnoliopsida, Lamiales, Lamiaceae. The record is from RefSeq and is a predicted model, not a curated record. The transcript has 3 exons.